UUACAUGUUAAUUUUUUUUAAGUAAUUAAUACUUGCAUGUUAGUUUUUGUAAGUAAUUAAGUAAUGUUAACAAUUACAUGUUAAUUUUUUUAAGUAAUUAAUACUUGCAUGUUAGUUUUUGUAAGUAAUUAAGUAAUGUUAAUACUUGCAUGUUAGUUUUUGUAAGUAAUUAAGUAAUGUUAACAAUUGCAUGUUAAUUUUUGUAAGUAAUUAAGUAAUGUUAAUACUUGCAUGUUAGUUUUUGUAAGUAAUUAAGUAAUGUUAACAAUUACAUGUUAAUUUUUUUAAGUAAUUAAUACUUGCAUGUUAGUUUUUGUAAGUAAUUAAGUAAUGUUAAUACUUGCAUGUUA
RNAcentral lists this long non-coding RNA (350 nucleotides) under Malus domestica (apple). RNAcentral's name for it is "long non-coding RNA (MDOM_LNC015272)". The record is from RNAcentral. Lineage: Eukaryota; Viridiplantae; Streptophyta; Magnoliopsida; Rosales; Rosaceae.